RNAcentral lists this long non-coding RNA (37570 nucleotides) under Gossypium raimondii (Peruvian cotton). RNAcentral's name for it is "long non-coding RNA (GRAI_LNC003640)". Lineage: Eukaryota; Viridiplantae; Streptophyta; Magnoliopsida; Malvales; Malvaceae. The record is from RNAcentral.
AAAAUAAAACUCCUUUAUAAGAGUUAACUUUUUGCAAGAGAAAAGGGGACUACUUUGUGCAUUGUUUCAUUUAUUUUUUUAAUAAUAUUUUUAGAAUUCAUCACAAGUUAUAAGUGGCUAAUUUUAUUUUCUAGCUACUGGUAGAUAAAAGCUCGAUUUUGUUAAAAAUCAUUCUGAGAUUCAGAGUGUUCUCCAUUCUUCUCUUACCCAUUACCAGUUUCUUCUUCUCUAUUUUAUGGGACAUGUAGUAUCAUCUCUUAUUAUUCUUAUCAGUAUCAUUUCAACUAAGAUUAUUUGUUUAGAUUUAGGCUAUUAAACAGUUAAUUAGAGUAAUUAGAUCCAAAAUUGUCUCUUUGUUCUAAUACUUAGAAAAAGUUAGCAUAGUUUGUUUGAGAGAGCUUAUGUUAAGGAAUGAAUGAUCUAAUUUAAAUGAUAUGUGCAAUUAAGUUGGUUAGUUAGAGUCGGGUCUUUUCUAAUCCAUAAGGUUGUUGGUGAAUUAAAUCUUAGGAGAACCUUUUAUACUUUUUUAACUAGUAAGGAUUAGUUGUUGAGUUGUUUUAACAAUUAAUUACAAACUAAGGAAAGAUUUGUGGUUUAAAGUUGUUAUUCGAUUGCUUUAACCUACUUAUCAUUGAAUAAGGAAACAUCUAUAAUCUGUGAUCAAUUUGAGAAUAAAGGUGACAAUGCACCUGAGGUUGAAAAUCUCAACAUAUCAGUUUAUUUUUUAUUAGUUUGAAUUAGUGUUUUUUUACCCUAGUGGUGUUUUUAGAAUGCCAUCUCUAUGUGGCCAAGAAAGGAAUCAAACGUUACAAAGGAUCUACAUUGGAAGGUUUCUUAAUCAUGUCAUUUCUAACAUUACACUUAUCAAAACAUAACAGACUUACUACCAAAUUGAUAACAAUUUGGUCACGAAUUAUUAGAAUGUUACUUGGGGAUCAUAUCACCUCUAUAUCAUAAUUGGCAUGUAGACUUAAAGUCGAAUUGCGUGCUCAUUUUAGUCCUAGAAUCUACUAAACCUAAACUCUAAUAUCAGUAAAUGUAACACCUCUCACCCAUUCCAACAUAUAGUACGAAUAAGAGAUGUUAUCAGAACACAUACAUAACAAAAAAUCUCAAGAGUUAUUUAAAUUUUAAAAUUUAAAAGUAUUUUUAUAAAAUUAUUAAAUCACAUUUGAGAUUAUUUGGGGGGUUUUAGAAAAGAAUUAAAUCAUUUAGUAAAUGUUCAAAAGUGAUCGCUAGUGUUCAGGACCCAAAACGAGCUCCUAGAAGUUAGAAUAGCAUAAAAUAGUGCAAUGAGUCAAACUAGAGCAGAGGUAUAGGUAAAUCUAUACCUUAGAACCUCAAAGAAAAAUAAAAUAAAAUUCAAACAAACUUCAAAACAUCUCCAAUCUUCAAGAAAUCAUACUAGUAAGUUUUAAUUCAUUUUAAAACCAUAUAAAAACAAAUUCGAGCAUAAAUACAUCUUAGAAACAUGAUCAAAUCGAUUCAACACCAAAAGACUUGAUCUAUGAGUGUGAACAACAUCUCAAAUUCCGUGAAAACAUCUCAAAAAUUAAAAAGUACAAUUUCAAACUUAGGUCUUUAUGUACAUGCUAAGAUUAAUAUACAAUGACUAUUGUGACCUAAUACCCUUAGUGUAGAGAUUUCGUCAAUAUGUACUUAUAAUUUUUCUAACAAAUUGGUUUAAUAAAAUAUUCAUCAGUAUCAUUAAUAUCUUCGUAUAUUGUCCUCAAUGGUUUUUACAUGCAAAGAAAAAUGAAACCAAAUAUUGGUUCACUGAUUAUCUAACAUUUAACUAAUAUUAAGCAGUAUUACGAGGUCGAACCAUAAAAUGGAAAGACAACUUAUAUUAGUAAAUAAUCUAAGCACAUACUUACUCUAAUUGAAAAUGAGCAAAUCAAUUAAAAGACUAAUAUGUAAUCUAUCAAGUCUAAUUGGGGAGAAUCUUAUCUUGGGUAUCGGAGCGAAUGACUCCAAAAAGAUAGAGACAUUGUUAUUUUUUGAAAUAACAAAUUAAAAUAUUUUUGGAUAAAGGUUAAAAUUGAACAAAAUUGGCAAAUUGAUAUUUCAAAUGAAGUCUAAGAGAUAAAAUUUUGAACCUAUUACUUUGAACUCUUAGAAAAUUUUUGAAUCAACCUUUAAAUCAAGUUAAAAUGGUUUCAAUCAAGUUAGAAUUUCUUCAAUCAGUUAAACUAUUUUUAAAAAAAUACCUUUUUGGCCAAGUAUCUAUAGUUUCCAAAAUAUCGACACCCCUUCAAAAAUUGAUACCAAAUUGACAUUUUGUUUCCCAACCAAUUCAGCUAAGUAUUAAUCCAGUAUCGGUACUUUUCAUAUGGUAUCGAUAAAAGUCCACUGUUAUCAAUAUUUUUAGCUCCCACAAUCACUAAAUUUUUCAUUAAAUUCAAAACAUAUCGAUACAUUGUUAGAAAGUAUUGGUACUCGUAGUUACAAGUUAAUUAAAUGCACUAUUAUUUUAUCCCCAAUGGCUCUAUUCAUUUUUCCAACAACCACAACGGUUGGAAAUCAAUUAGGGGGUAUAAAUACUAGCUUCCAAAGGUCCUACAACAAUAUUAGACAUUAUCAGGCUUAACGGUCAAUAAAAAAUAACCUUGUGCUUACAAUUCUGAAUAAUUUUAUUUAAACACUCUUGUGAGCUUUCAUUGUUUUCAUUUAACUCAAGUGUUUCUCUUUGUAAUUGAGCUUAACUUGCAAACAUUCCGGUCUUGUAAGGGUUAUUUCUUUUUUUGCUUAUUUGUAUCUCUUUAAGAAGGUUUGUGUCUUAAGGUUUGGUUAGAAACCUUAAAGGAGUUUGUAAAGUUAGACCUUAUCAUUAAAGGUUGUCAAAUUAGUUAAUUUGGGAAAAUCUUUAGUGGUUGAAAGCUAAGGGAGUGGAGUAGGCAAUUUGGGUUGAACCACUCUAAAUUCUUAUGUUCAAUUUUUCAAUAAUUAUUCUCUAGCAUCCAAAAAAUUUUAGAAAGCCAAUUCAACCCCUCUUUGUAAUUUUGGUUUGAUUAUUUGAGCUAACAAUUAAUAUCAAAGUUAGCAUCUAUCCGACUGCUUCAUAACCAAGAGAAUAUACUUGAGGUAGCUCAAGUUUCAGCCAAUCAAUCCAAAAGAUAUGAUGUCUACAUCUGGUUCAGUUUUUCUUGAAGAAUCACAAUCUAUAUCUAAGCCUUCUUACUUCAACGGUACCAACUACUAUUAUUCGAAGACAAGAAUGAUGUUGUUCAUACAAGCAAAUGAUCUUACCAUAUGGGACAUCAUCAUGGACUGUAACACCCCUAACCCAUCCCCGUUGCCAAAUUAGGGUUAUAGAGUAUUACAACACAUAACAACUCUCAUUAUAUCAUAAAAAAUAAUGAAAUAUUAAUUUAAAUACUUUUUAUUGAUAACCAAUCAUCAUUCAUAACAUUCAUACAAAAAGAAGCUUUCAAUUGAGUGUACGGAACCUAAAAAUCAAUUUGGAAACAUUUAGGGACUAAUCUAAAACAAAAUAAAAAUAUAAAAAAAACUAGAAAUAGGGGUCACACGAUCAUGUGGCUCAGGGACAUGGUUGUGUGGGCAAAGCGUGUGCAAUUCAAAAUAGGGUCACACGGUUGUGUCGUCAAGUCAUGCGCUUUGAAAGAGGGUCACACAACCGUGCAGCCAGGCCGUGUAAUAACCUAUGAUAGUGUGGGAAAAACCUACACCAAAUUUCAAGAAUCACACGAUGGCAUAACGGCCCGUGUCAUUGGCUGUGUCUGCCUAAAAUUUCCUUCAAAAUCAAGCUAACUCACAUAAAAAUGCUUGGGUGCCAUAUUACAAUUUUACUUAAGUUUAAUCAUCCUUAACAAAUAAAUAAUGUCAUCAUCCAUUAACUAAUGUUAUAACAAUGUCCCAUUUCCUUAAUUGAACACUCAAACACUGAGAAAUUCUAUAAUAAUUCACUUUUGUUAAGUUUAUGAUUUAACCCUUUUUCCUUAAUUAAUUAUCUAAAUAUCAAAAUUACUGAACAAAAUUUUAAUAUGGCACUCAUAUAACUUCAUAGAUAUAAAAUAAAUAAUAUUUUCUAACUCACACAUUGGAAUUGUGGCCCCGAAAUCACUAUUUUCAACACCACUAAAAAAUGGGUUGUUACAUGGAUGGUCACUCCAUACCUCUCAAGCAAGAAGAAGAGCUCCUUAUUCCAAAAAGAAAGAAAUAGUGGAAUAAGGAAGAUAGAAGAAGUAUUCAGUUGAAUGCCAAGGCUAUGUACACCUUAUUUUGUACACUUGGACCAGAAGGAUAUAGUAGAGUAUCAUAUUGUUUUAAUGCCAAGGAGAUAUGGGAUAAGAUUGAAGUCACACAUGAAUGUACCAACCAAGUAAAAAAGUCUAAGGUUGGAAUUCUUACUCUAAAUUAUGAAACCUUCAAAAUGAAGCUUGAGGAAGAUAUCAAGGCGAUGUUUGAUCGAUUUACUAUAAUCAUCAAUGGAUUAAAGUCUUAUGGGAAAAAAAUUCAAAUGCAGAGGUGGUAAGGAAAAUGCUUUGAAGCUUGCUUAAAUCAUGGGAAUCCAAUGUGACUCCAAUUCAAGAAGCAAAUAAUUUAGAAAAGUUGACUUUGGAUGAACUCAUCGAUUUUUUGCUUACACAUGAAAUGAGGCUCAAUGAAGGGGUUGAAACAAACUAAAAUUGAGAAGAAAAAGGUUGGUGUCGCUCUUAAAUCCACCACAAAUGAAGAUAGUGAAUCAAGUGAAUAGAUGGAUGAAGACAAAGGGACGUUCAUGCUUGCUAGGAGAUUCAAGAGAUUCAUGAAGUUUAAUAAAGGAAGAAGAUUCCAAAAGGGGAGAUUGAAGUUUGAAUCUACGAAGGAGAAAGAUCUCAUUAUUUUUUAUGAGUGCAUGAAACUAGGACAUAUCAAGUUUGAUUAUCCUCAAUGGAAGAAGAAGGGAUCAAAGAAAACAAAAGCUUAAGACAAAUGUGGCUACAUGGAGUGAUGACGAUUCCUCCAAUGAAGAAGAUCAAGAAGUAGCCAACCUAUGCCUUAUGACCAUUGAUGACUCUAAGGUAACUUCUAACUCGUCUAAUUCAAUUUUUUAUUCACUUGAUGAGUUACAAAAUGCAAAUGAUUAGUUGGGUUUAGAGUUUGAAAUUAUGGUUUCAAAAUAUAAGAAAAAUAUUUCAAAUUUAAAAGAUAAAAAUAGUUCAUUUUCCAAAGCCAAUAAUGAAAUUGAAAGUAAAAUUCAUGAUAUGCAGAUUAUUAUAAAUGAUUUUGAAGAAAAAAAAAACCAAGACUUGCAUAAUUUUUUUUAGAAGUUCAUGAUCAUCAUCAAAAGCAAUUUGAGUUUAUUGAAUAAGAAAAAGUUUUACCUAAAAAAUUAUCUCUAAAAAGUUUUAAAAAGGGAGAAAGCUCAAAAUCAAGCUUUGUUGGAACAAGCUUUAAUUUCUAUAAACAUAAAGGUUCCUCAAGAUUUUAUAAAGGAAAAAUUGUUAAAAGUAUAUGGGUCCCUAAAGGACUUUGUGUUACUCAAGACAAAGAGAUUAUUUCAAAAUUAGGAACUAAUAUUUAUGGACCCAAAAGAAUUUGGGUACAAGAAAUAAAAAUUUAAUUCUAUAUUUGUAGGGAAAUAAGCAUUACUUCAAGGUGAAUAACACAAGUAUAAACUUAUGGUACCUUGAAAGUAGAUGCUCAAGACAUAUGACUAGUGACAAGAGUCAUUUUAACAAAUUGAACCCAAAAGGUAAAGAAGAAGUUACAUUUUGUGACAACUCCGAAGGAUAAAUAGAAGGAAUUUGAUCUAUUGGUAAAAUCUCUUCAAUAUUUAUUGAAAAUUUUAUGUAUGUCAAUAGUCUUAAACAUAAUCUAUUAAGUAUUAGCCAAUUGUGUGAUAAAAGUCUCAAUGUCAUUUUUGAGUCUAAUGGUUGUAAAUUUAUUGACAUUUUGUCUAAUAAAAUUAUGCUUGUAGGUUAUAGAAUAGGAAAAUUUUAUAUGGUGCAUUUAGAUGAAUUGCAUGAUUCAAAUGUUUAUUUUAUUGUCAAAAAUGGAAAUUCUUCUUGGUUAUGGCAUAGAAAACUAGGACAUGCUAGUAUGAGCAUAUUUCACAAAUUAGUUAAAAAUGAUUUAGUCAGAGGGAUUCCUAAAAUUGACUUUGAUUUAGAAAAAAAUUGUGUUGCAUGUACCAAGGUAAACAUAGAAGAGUUUCUUUUAAACCUAUUAAUGAUGUGUUUACUAGUAGAGUUCUUGAACCAAGUCAUAUAAAUCUUUUUAGUCAUAUUAGAACAAAUAGCUUGGGUGGAAAACAAUAUGCAUUUGUACCUGUCGAUGAUUAUUCUAGAUUUACUUGGGUUCUUUUCUUAAGUAUUUAAUAUGAGGUUUUAGAAAAAUUCUUCACAUUUUCAAAACUAAAUCAAAAUAAAAAAUGUUACUCUAUUUCCAUGUAAUGAGUGACCAUGGAAUCAAAUUUCAAAACCUUGGUUUUGAUAAUUUUUGUAACUUAAAUAGGAUUAGUCAUCAUUUUUCUACACUUAGAACCCCUCAAGAAAAUGGAGUUAUUGAGAGGAGAAAUAGAACUUUAAAACAAAUGGCUAGAACUAUGCUUUGUGAAAAUAAUUUGCCAAAAUAUUUUUGGGUGGAAGCCACAAACACCACUUGUUAUAUUGUUAAUAGAGUAAUAAUUAGGUCUAUUUUAAAGAAAACUUCAAAUGAGUUUUUUAAAAAGAAAAGGCGUAACAUUAGUUAUUUUCAUCCUUUUGGAUGCAAGUGUUUUGUUUUAAAUAAUUAAAACGAUUAUAAUGACAAAUUUGAUGCAAAAAGUGAUGAAUGAUUUUUUCUUGGUUAUUCCUUAAACUCUAAAGCUUACCAAGUCUUUUAUAAAAGAACUUUAGUUUUAAAAGAUUCUGUACAUGUUUUUUUUACUCUAAGUUUCCUCUUGGAAAGGAUUCUUGUAUUGAUGAUGAUGCAGAAAUUUUUUACAAUGAUAAGAAAGUGGAUCAGUCAUCAAAUGAGAAUAUAUAAGAACAAACUCAAGAUGCUCUAAAGGAGCUUACAUUAGUGGAGAGGGAAGUCACUCAUCUAAGGGAGUAUAACUUUAUGAAAGAUGGUAAGAUUUUGGGAUCCAUCCAAAAGGGUAACUACUAUAUUUUCUCUAAGAAAUACAUGUAAUUUUGUUGCAUUUAUUCCAUGCAUAGAGCCUAAAAAUAUUAAAGAAGAAUUAAAUGAUGAAUAUUGGAUGUUGGCUAUGCAAGAUGCGUUCAAUCAAUUUUGGAGAAGUAAUGUAUAACACUAGUUAAAAGACUUAGUGAAAAAUCUACUAUAUGUUCAAGUGGGUUUUUAGGAAUAAGCUAGAUUAGAGUGGUAACAUAGUGAUGAACAAGGCUAGGCUUUUCACUGAAGGCUACAUUCAAGAAGAAGGAAUAGACUAUGAUGAAACAUAUGCUGUCGUAGCUAGAAUGGAAGUCAGUAGAAUGCUCUUUAUCUUUUGCAGGCUUUAAAGAUUUAAAAUUAUUUCGAAUGUAUGUCAAAGGUGCUUUUUAAAUGGUUUUAUUAAUUAAAAAGUAUACGUUGAGCAAUUAUUCAGUUUUGAAAAUCCAAAAUUUCCAAACCAUGUUUUUAAAUUAUCAAAAGCUUUAUACGGUUUAAAAUAAGCUCCCAAAGCUUGGUAUGAAAGACUUUCAAAUUUUCUUGUUGAAAAAAGUUUUUCUAAAGGGAAGGUUGACAACACUUUUUAUCAAAAGAAAAGGAAAAUAUUUAUUAGUAGUGCAAAUUUAUGUUGACGAUAUUAUUUUUGUUGCUAAUAAUAAAAUUCUUUGUGAGGAUUUUUAAAGCUAAUGUAAGGUGAGUUUGAAAUGAGCAUGGUGGGAGAGCUCUCAUUGAGCUUGAAAUGAGCAUGAUGGGAGAGCUCUCAUUCUUUUUGGGGCUCCAAAUCAAGCAAAGGAAUGAUGAUAUUUUCAUCAAUGAAGCCAGAUAUAUAAAGAAAAUGCUGAAGAAGUUUGGGAUGGAUAUCCUCAAAGCUCAAGUCGCUCUUAUAAGUCCUUCCACAUAGCUUGACAAAGAUGAAGAAGGUAAAUGUGUAGACAUUAAAUUAUAUAGGUCUAUGAUUAGUUCUUUUUUUUAUCAUACCGCAAAUAGACUGGAUAUUAUGUUCAGCUUUUGCUUGUGUGCUAGAUAUCAAUUAUGCCCUAAGGAAUCACAUUUACAAGCCGUUAAGAGAAUUUUUCGGUACUUUAGAGACACUCUUAAUUUAGGACUUUGGUGUCCUAGAGAUUCAUCCUUUAGCUUGCAUGUCUUCUCAGAUGUGGAUUUUGGAGGUUGCAAACUAAAUAGGAAGAGCACCUUCAGUACUUGUCAAUUCUUAGGCAACAUGUUAAUUUAAUGGUUUUCAAAUAAACAAAAUAGUGUUGCGUUGUCCACCACCGAAGCGAGAUACAUUUCUAUCGAUAGUUGUUGUGCUCAAGUUUUAUGGAUGAAACAAUAACUUAAGGGCUAUAGAAUUGUUAUAGAUACUAAUCCUAUCAAGUGUAACAAUACUAGCGUUAUUUAUCCCACUAAGAAUCUCAUCCGACACUCUAGGCCUAUGCAUAUUGACAUAAGACAUCAUUUCAUUAGAGAUCAUGUCCAAAGAGGGGAUAUUGUUCUAGAGUAUGUAGACACUUUGCGUUAAUUAGUUGAUAUUUUUACAAAAGCUUUAGACAAGGAAAUAUUUUGGAAAUAUAGGAGAGAACUAGGUUUCACCAACUUGCCUUGACUUUGUGUUGAAUAUUUUCUAUGCACUUUGAAUGAUUUUUAAACUUGUAUAUUUUUUACAUGUAUUGAAAAGGAAUGCUUGUAUGAUUUCCAUGGCUCUUAUAUGAAAAAACAUACGAUGAUUUUAAUGUGUUUGAUUAAUCUAUUUUGACUUAUUUGUCUAGCAUGAUUUAUUUUUUGAUGCGCUUGAACUUGUUAAAGUUAACUUUAUCUAGUUAACUUAGUCAAUUUUUUUAAUGAACUUAUUGUAAUUUAUGAAUCUUAUGCAUCAUGCUUACUCAUUGCACUUUCAUGCAUAUGAAAUCAUUAUAAUUUAUCUAAGAUUCAUUUUAAGACAUUUAGAAUACAUUAGGACUUCAAAAAUUGAGUUCUCGGUAAAUUUCUGUACAUGGAAAACAGAUCCGUAAUACUUUUCUGGUUUUAAGAGUACCUAAAUCGAGGGUUUCAAAUUGGUUUAUAAAAACCCCAAUUUCCUUUCCCCUUCAUCUCGAAAACCCUCUCCUCUAAACUAAAAAUUUCUUUAAAAACCUUUGAUUUUUAUCAUGAAAUAUUGAUGCUGAAAUACUUUCUAACACCAUUACAUCAAGAUUUCUUCAACAAUGUUCCAAGUUUUUCAACAUUUCAACAUUUUUGAGGUAAAACCUAUACAUUUCUUUUUAAAUUUAUGAAAUAUAAGUUAAAAUAUUGAAUUUUGAUGAGUUUUUGGCUUGAUUUGGACUCUAUAAACUAUGUUUUAUUGCAGGGGGUCACCUAUUUCUAAAAAUUUUCUCAAAAAUUUGUUUCAAACCCUUUGCCCACCAAGUGUUCGACAAAAUUCCUCAACAAAAUUUUUAAUAGUUUAAGUAUGUUUUUAGUAUUUUGUUUUUUAUCAUAGCCUCUAAGAAGCGUUCUAGAACUGGUGCCUCCUCUUCAAAUCCUUCUAGUGGGUUUAGAUCAUCAUUUAAUGAGUGUUUUAAUUCCAAAUAGGAACGAGAACGGUUCAAUAAAAAUUUUGUGUAGCACCCUAAACCCGACCAAGACGUUAUGGCCGAAUCUGGAAAUGUUACAAAGAAUGGUUUUGAAACAAUGACUUUCAUGUUAAAACUUCUUGUAUAAAUUGUUCCAAAAGAGAUCACAUUUUCGAAAAACUUAUUAUUAUCCUCUUUAAUGAAUCCGUUAUUUAUUGCCUUUUUAAGUGUAACAUAAAUUUUGCAGUGAAAGUUUAUAAGACGUUAUAGUUGAAAAUUGAGCUUGAUUUCAGAAAAAAUAUUUGUAUAGUUUAUUAUUCCAUGAGUUUAUAAGAUGUUAUAAUUGUAAUUUUGUAAAUUUUGCGGCGAAAGUUUAUCAGAAUAGCAAAUAUCAUGCACUAAGGUUUGUAUUCCCCUUACCGACCCUACAGAAGGCUCACAAUCGAUUGGAAUGACAUAUGUUACCCUAGGGAAAGUUUCAAAAUUUUGGGCCCACAUGCUCGUGUGGCUUGCCCAUGUCCCAUAAGCCCAUGUGGCCCACAUGGCCUGGCCUACAAUUCACACGCUCGCAUGACCCACACGCCCAAAUCAGCCUAGCCCGUGUGACCCACACGGCCACACACUCGCCCGUCACACAACCGUCUGUUGCACACGGCCGGGCACACGCCCGUGUGGCGUCAACAUGCCACUUUUUUGGCUUUCACCAAAUGUCAUUUUCUCGUGUUUUCAUUACACACCUGGUUCAUUUUUGAUGUGAAACCAAUCUCGAGACCUCCAAAACCUAAAAACAGUAUACUAAACACCGUUUUAGCAAUUGAUUUAAGCAUUAAACUAGAGGAACAAUAGCAAAACAUAAUCAAAUUCCCCCAUAACAGCAGAAACCACUUAAUUCUCAAUGGAUUUCGUUAAACAUAAUCAAAUUCCGCCACAACGCAAAAUGGAAAAAGAAAACAACUUGAUAGAUUACCUAUUCGGAACGAAUCGAAGAACCCCAAAACUACGAUACGAUAGUACGUACGACGACCAGAAUUGAGGAAGAAAAAGAAGAGAAAGAAGAAAUAACGUUAGAGAAAAGAGAAGAAAAAAGAAUUUUGGGAAAACAAAAGAAUUAAAAUUAAAAUUUAAUUCUACCAAAAUCCCAACUCCCAACAACCCCACUAAAUUCGACCACUAACCUCAUCCAACUACCUCAGAAACUGAAACUCUAUUACACAACUGAGUAAAAAUUAUCAUCCACGUUCACACAAGGAUUCGAACACGAGACUUAGGGUAAGCUAACACCUUACCACUUGAACCAAUAGGCUCAUUCUGAUAUGAGUUUACCAAGAAUAUAACAUACGCCCACUAAAAAGGGAUAAGGCUAAGACCAAAAAUAACAUAUUUUUCCAAAAGUGGCACUUGAACCCAAGACCUCAAACACACACCAACACCACUUAACAACUAAAGCAAACUCAUUUAUAUCAAAAUUCUCAAAACAAAAUUAAAUAAUUCAAGGCGUUACAUUUUGCAUCUAAACAAGUUUAGGAGUCUAGGAAGAUAGAUUUUGUCAUGUUAGAUAUAAAUUUCUCUUAUCUUUUAAUUUUUCAAAGUUGGGGCUGGAAUGGUUUCUUAAAAAUUUCCUCACCGACUUACAUUAAUGUUGUUCAAGCUUUUUACUCAAAUGUCAAACUCAAACAUGAUGAGUCUGCCGAUAUGGUCAUUGUUAUCACAUCCUUUUUAAUGAACACUCUGAUUGGACUUACUUUAGAUGGUUUCAGAAAUUUUCUUCAUUUGUCUUCCAAAGGUAACUCUAAUGAAAAAAGAUCCUACAACCUUGCACUUUAUUUUAAGUCCAAACACGCAUCCGAACCCAAUCUCUCUAAUUGUGUUCUCCAUCUCAUCAUAACUUAGAAUCUUCGUCCUAUCAAAAAACAUGUCAUGCUUCACUCCAUCGAUUGUUGGUGUAUCGAUUCUAUUCAAUUCAAUAAGCGUCCCGACCUCGCUCCUAUAAUGUUCAAUGAUAUAACUAUGGGCAUCGAAAAGGUAAUGUCUACAAGUAUUACCCUUCCCAUGGCACCUAUUUGUCAUACAUUUUUAGGAAAUUAGGGAUUAAUACCCAUAGAGACACCCCAGCACCUCAAAUCAACCUGUUUGUCAUACAUCGUUAGAGAUGCAAAUGGCAUCACUUCUAAAUCACUAUCCUUCUACCCCUCUUUUUUCUCCUAAUGAUGACGAUUAGGAUAGUUAUUGCACAUUCAUAUAAUUUUUCGCAUCAUUUGCACUAUUAUUUUUGCUUAUGUCCUAUGACUAUAGUAUAUUGAACCUCAAUGCUUAAUUGGUAUUUUAAGAUACUUUUAUGGUUAUUUUGCAAAUGUUAGUUUAUUUCUUCUUUGUUUUUUUUUAAUUUCUAUUCGUUCUCCUAAGCUUUAGUCUAUUUUUGAUAUAACAAAAAAGGGGAGAAAGUAAGGUAAAUCAUUGAUAGGCAAAGGUAAAUUAGUUGAUUAAUGUUUGAUAUUGAGCUAAAUUAUCAUUAUGCAAAUUAAGUGACCAUUCUUUUCAAAGUAAAAAUGAAUGUCAAAUUUUUAAAUAUAUGUCAGUUUUUAGGCCUUAAAUUUAAAAUGACUUUAAUACUGGGGGAGCAAUUUAUUCAAAAACAAAUUUACCAAAUGUUUUGUUAUAUCAAAAAAGGAGAGAUUGUUAUACCAAGCUCUAUUUGAUAAUAUGUUUCGAAAUAACAAAUUAAAAUUCUUUUUGAACAAAAGUUAAAAUUGAACAAAUUUGGCAAAUUGAUAUUUCAAAUGAAGUCUAAGAGAUAAAAUUUUAAACCUAUUACUUUGAACUCUUAGAAAAAUUUUCAAUCAACAUUUAAAUCAAGUUAAAAUAGUUUCAAUCAAGUUAGAAUUUUUUUCAAUCUAUUAAACUAUUUUUUAAAACAAGUUAGUAUAGUUGCAAGCCAAAAAGUAUCAAUAGUUUCCAAAAUAUCGAUACCCCUUCAAAAAUCGAUACCAAAUUGACAUUUUGUUUCUCAACCAAUUCAACUAAGUAUCGAUCUAGUAUCAAUACUUUUCAUAUGGUAUCGAUAAAACCACUGGGAUCGAUAUCUUUAGCUUCAAAGGUCACUGAAUUUUGCAUUAAAUGCAAAACAUAUCGACACGUUGUUAGCAAGUAUCGAUACUCAUAGUUGCAAGUGAACUAAAUGCACUGGUUAUUUUAUCCCUAAUGGCUCUAUUCACUUCUCCAACAACCACAACAGUUGGAACACAAUUAGGGGUAUAAAUAUCAGCUUCCAAAGGUCCUACAACAAGAUAAAAUAUUAUCAAGCUUAAAGAUCGAUCAAAAAUAACCUUGUGCUUACAAUUCUGAACAGUUUUCUUUCAAUACACUUGUGAGAUUUUAUUAUUAUCAUUUAGCUCAAGUGUUUCUCCUAGUAAUUGAGCUUAACUUGCAAACAUUUUGAUCUUGUAAGAGUUAUUUCAUUGUUUGCUUAUUUGUAUCUCUUUGAAACAUUCUGAUCUUGUAAGGAUUAUUACUUUGUUUGCUUAUUUGUAUCUCUUAUAGAGGGUUUGUGUCUUAAGGUUUGGGUAAAAACCUUAAGGGAGUUUGUAAGGUUAAACCUCAUCCUCAAAAGUUGUCAAAUUAGUGGAUUUUGGAAAAUCCUUAGUAGUGGAAAGCUAAUGUAGUGGAGUAGGAAAUUGGGGUCUAGCCACUCUAAAUUCUUGUGUUCAAUUUUUCUAUCAUUAUUCUCUAGCAUCCAUAAAAUUUUAAAAAGACAAUUCACUGCCUUCUUGGCAAUUUCAAUUUGAUUAUUUUAGCUAACAGACAUAGUUGUGACUGGCUUUGUGAUAUCCUCUCAUUGACAUUAAUGAUAGAUGAAAAGUAAACCUGGUCAUAGGUCAUUUUUCAUUUUGACAAAUGAUUUAAUUACCAUUUAAUAGCAAUUUACUUUUCAUGAAGGAAGAUGUAAUUGUUACUGUGAGAUAAAAUAGGAUCAUAUUGGGAUAAUAAAUUUAUCCCAAGUAGAUUAAGUAUAUCCUAUGAGGGUAGCACACUCAUGAAAAGGUCAUUGGACGAACACUUAUUAAGUAGUUUUUAUAAUGGUAUAUAAUAAGGGAGAGCUCGGUCACGAUACUUUAUUGGAAUGACUUCGUGACUAAAUAAAGUUAUAAUUAAUAGGCAAGAAGCUAGAAUAUAAUUAUAAAUUAUUUGAGUCCUAAUUAUUGCUCCCUCCACUAGCUGGAGAUAACCAGAAACAAAUUGCAUGUAGAAACAAUAAUAAGAAAUUAAUGAAAACGAUGAAGUAAGAGAAAUAGAUCGCAUGUAUCACUGUCCUCAUUGAAUGCGUUUUCUCGCUAAGUACAAAGUUGACUUAGAAAUUAAUUUAAUUUCUUCGAAUUAUUAUUUAAUUCAUUGUAAUUAAGUAAUUAAAGUUUGAAGUAAGAAUUACAUUAAUUAGUCAUUAUGAAUUUUUUUAAUGAGACAAUUAAAUAUAUUUUUCUGAUAGAUUUUAAUACGCUCAAGUUGUAAUGACUUUAGCUAAAUUAGAAUUGGGUUGAGAAAAUUAAUUUAAUUGAGAAAUUAGUUUCAUUACUUUAAUUAAUAAAAUUAAUCGAUUAAAUAAAUAAUAUUUUGGAAAAUAAAAAUAAAUAUUUGAUUGGAUAAAUUAUAAGUGUUGCAUAAAAGUCUAGAUAACACACAUAAUUGGACCUAAUACAUGAAAAGCACAACUAGGCCAUGUGGAGCAGAAAGCACAUCAAGCCCUAGUAAUCCAUAGGGCAUUAUACAACCCCUUACCUCUUCUAUUUAGACUAGAAGUUAUAUUUUUUGUUCAAAUAUUAUUUAAUUAACCUUAUUCGAAAAGAACUCUUGUACUGAUUCUUUAUAAAUAUCACAAAGCACGUGCGUAACACCCCUUAACCAGCUCGAUUGUCGAACUCGAGUAAUAAGAUGCUAUGAGCAAAAACCAAACAAAUAGAAGCAAUUUAUAAAACAAAAUUUCAAUUUAAUUAUCAUAAUAUCACAUAUAAUCAAAUACAUCAUGUAAUUCAAUCUAUUUUGGUGUUAUAUUGAGCAUACGGAAGCCUAAAAACAUUUUGGUAUCAAUCAGGGAUCAAAUUGAAACAAGACAAAAAAUAGGAAAAAUUGUGCAAACAAAGGUUACACAGUCCUGUCCUUUAGUCGAGUGUGAAAGCCAAACCCGUGUGUGAUGAACCAAACGGUCAUGUCACUAAUCAUGUCCCUAGAUAAUAUACCUAACAAUGACCAUAGGCACGAAAAUCACUUAAAAUUUUACAAACCACACGGUCGAGCCAUGCCCGGGUGUAUGGCACACAACCGUGUGCCAGACCGUGUCUCAAGUAGUGUGUACCUCGAAAAUGCCUUCCAAAAUAAGUUAUUCAACCAUGAUACACUUAUGCCACAAGCUACCAUUUAAGCUACAUUUCAACUAGGGGUGAGCAUUCGAUCGAAUCGAAUCGAAUCGAGAAUUUUCGAGUUAAUCGAGUUUUCGAAUCUCAUUUUAUCAUCCUAACUUUAUUUGAAGUUUUCUCGAAUCGAGUUGAGUGAGAUGGAAUUCGAAUCGAAUCGAAUUGAAUAUAUUUGUUCGAGUUAAAUUUUAAAAAAUAAUUUUGGGUGCUUGUAACCAUUAUCACCCAUCGUAAUAAAAUUUGUCCACUAAUCAAAUUUUUUAUUAACUUUCAUCACUUCAUAAUUUAUUUAUUAAUUUUUUAAAUAUUGGUUAGCUUCUUUGCUUGCUUAGUUGUUUCAAUUAUCUUCAGAUUCUUGUCACUAUUUAUUUUAGAAUUAAAAAAUAUAUUAAAUGAAAAAAUAUAAUUUUUUAAUAAAAGUUAUUUUAAAAAUAAAAUGUGAAAUUGAUACCAAUAUAAAAUUUUAACACGAAUAUUUUAUGGCAUAAUUAAUAAUUCAAUUUUAAUAUAAAUAUUCAAUAUGACUAAACAAUUCAAUAAUAUAAAUAAUAUAAAAUGUGAAAUUUAAUUUAAUAAUAUAAAUAGUAGAUAUAAAUAAAAUUAUUACUAUUUAUGUUUAGUGAUUUUUUUUGGAUAAUUUUGAUUUUUUAUUUGAGAGUAAAGGGUGAGAAGUAAAAGUUUAGGGGAAAAAUAAAAAGUUUUGGGUAAUAAAAGUUUGAGGGAAAGUAAAUAGGGGGGAGUAAAAAGGUUUGGGAGUUGGGGGUAAAAAUGUAAAAUAUUAUAGUUUGAUAUUUGAAUUAUUCGAAUUAUUCGAGUUAUUCGAAUUUGAAAACUCAACUCGAUUCGAACUCAAAAUUCGAAAAAAAAUUCGAGUUGAUUCGAAUAACUCGAUUAACUCGAAUAACUCGAUUCGUUUAACUCGAAAUUCAAAAUUUUUUUCGAUUUUUUCUAGUCGAAUCGAGUUUUUCUCACCCCUAAUUUCAACCUAUACAAAAGCAUCCAAUUCAAGUCAAAAUCAUAAUUUCAAACAACCAUCUAAGUGCUUAUCCAAUAUGCCACAUUUGGCACAUUAAUCAACAAUUCAAAACAAGCCAAAUGAUCAUAUUCAGUUAUGCUAAUAUACCUUCAAUGAUACCUCAAAUGAUCAAGCGACACAUGUAUACGUUUAACCAUUCAAUCAUCUCAUGUUUAAGUAUCAAACUGGCCAAAAUAUUUCCUAAACAUAACCUAAACAUAUCAUCCAUCAAACCAAAUCAAACAUCAACCAAACACAAUACCUAGCAUGAUAUUUUCUCAACCGUUAGAACAUUAGGCAUAUAUCCUAAACAACCUAUCAAGACAUCAACCACAUAACCAUUACCAUCACAUAAAUACAUACACUUUAAUACAUAAUAUCCAUAAAUACCAUCAAUAUAAAAAAUGAUUAUAAUUACCAAAAGACUUCCUAGGUACAUGCCAAGACCCAAAAUGAGCACAUCACCAACACUUGAGUCCAAGAUUGCCGCUGGAUGUUGAGUCGAUGAUCGGAUCACUAAGUACCUAACCUGCGCACGAAAAUAAAAUCAUACACUGAGUAUACUCAAUGUUAUUUCUAUAAUUCGAAUAUUUAUAUCUAAUCUGAAACAUAAUGAUGCAUAAGCUAACAUAAAUAAUGAGGUGCAACAUAGAAAUUACUAGCUAUUUCUCAAAAUCAUCACAUUUUACCAAUGUUAGAAUAUGGCAAUUUUAAUUCAUAUAUCAUUCCCUACUAACAUGACUUGCACUUAAACGGAUAUGCAAAUCCAACACAACAAAUUGGCAUCUGGUGCUUGACAAAUAAAUCCAUAAUAAUGAAUUGCGCCCUGCGCUAGCUGGUAAAGACUGACAAAUAAAUGUGCCCAGAACUGGUUAGUAUAACCGAAAAAUGGGGUGCCCAGCAUUCCACGAUAUGUAGUCGUACAAUCCUGAACUCUUCGUAUCAUAUGGCAUGCCAAUUAUACUCGACCCUACCUAAACGUUAAUAGGAUAACAAUUUUCCCAAUUAAAUUUAUAAACCAGUUCUUCAGUUACAUAUAACAAAUCCACCAAUUAAAUCAUCCAUUCAUAUACAUAACAACAUGUUUCAUUUCCAUAUCAAAUUCAAUUUCACAUACAAUAUACAUUACUUUUACAACUAUGCAAUUUAAUCAUUUGUCACCACUAAUCAUUCAAUCACAUCAUUUCAAUGUAGAUUUAAAAUUUCACAAUGUUAUUCCAAAGAACUAACUCACCUUAUAAACUUACCAAUUAAUGCAAUGUGUAAAUGCAACAAUUGAAAUAGUUUGGAUUAUAAAAACACAAACCUUAAACUCUGAGCUACUCAUCGAUGACUUUGUCUUUUCCUUUCUUUUUGGAGGAAUUCGGGUCCACGUUAGCUACAUAAUAAAACAAAUAUAGUAAAUUAUCAAUACACAGCCAAAUACGCAUUCAAUUGCUAAAUUAUGAAACUUUUACAUUUUAUUUAAUUUAGUCCUUAAAAUAGGGAUUAACAUAACUUUCACAUUUAACCCCUUAAUUUAAAGUUGAAUUUACUAAAGCCCAUUUAGGACUUUUUAUUUUUCAAUUGUACCAUAAUUUUAAUAAUUUUUACACUUUAGUCUUUAUUCCACAAAAUCAUCAAUUAGAUUUACAAUUUAGUCUUUUUUCAAUUCUAAACUUAAAAUCUAUCAAAUUAACCCCUAGAACUUCAACUAUCCAUCAAUGGCAACAUCUUCAAUCUUUAAUACUACCCAAAAUAGGACAUGAUUUAGCUAGCUUAAACUAUUGGGAUUCUGAAAACAUAAAAAUUACAAGAACAUGACUAAAUUGCACCAACCAAAUUGAGCUUGAAUUUUUUGAAUAACCUAGUUGUGUGUUCUCCCCUUUCUUUCUAUGCUUCAAAAUUUUGUAGAAAUAAAAAGGAAAUGUGUUUUGUUUUUAGUUUCCACUACUUUAGUUUUAUUUUAUUUUAUUACUUUGUGUUUUGUUAUUAUUUAUUAAUUUUAUUACAUUUUCUUUUAUAAAUUCAUUCAUUAACAUCCACUUUCAUUAAAUACUUCCAACACCACUGACUUGUGGGUCGUUACAAUUUUACCCCUAAAGAAAUUUCGUCCCCAAAAUUUACCUAAAAAGAGGUGGAUACUAAGCUUUCACCGUCUCUUCAGAAUCCCAAGUCGAUUCCUCGAUCUUGUGGCUACAGCACUGAACUUUCACGAGUGGAACGUGUUUGUUUCUUAACUCUUUCACCUUGCAAGCUAGAAUUUUGACCUAUUUUUCCUCGUGUGUCAAGUCAGACUGAAUUUCAAUUUCUUCCUUUGAAACAACAUGAGACGGAUCCGAUCAAUAUCUCCUAAGCAUCAAAACAUGAAAACAUCAUGUAUUUCCAGUAAUUCCACUGGCAAAUUGAACUGAUACACAAAUGGUCCAACUCUUCCGAUGAUUUUGUAUGGUCGGAUAAAUCGAGGACCCAACUUCCCUUUCCAGCCAAAUCACAAAACUUUCUUCCAUGGAGACACCUUUAGAAAUAAUUUAUCGCCCACAAUAAAUUCUAUAUCAUGACAUUUUAGGUUCGCGUACAAUUUCUAUCUAUUGGAAGUUAUUGUCAAUCUUUCUAUGAUCACUUCAAUUCUAUCUUUUGUUUCCUGAAUCAAUUCCGAUCCAAUAAUUUUUAUUUUGCACAAAUCCGACCAACAAACAAGUGUUCAACACCUUCGACCAUAUAAUGCCUCAUAUGGAGCCAUUUGAAUGCUCAAUUGAAAGUUGUUAUUGUACAGAAAUUCAGCCAACGGUAAAUAACGUUCCCAAGCUAAUUCAAAAUCAAUAACGCAAGCUCAAAGCAUAUCCUCCAAAAUAUGUAUUACAUGCUCUGCCUAUCCAUUUGUCUACGGCUGAAAAGCAGUGCUAAAGUUUAAUUUCGCACCUAAAGAUUUACGUAACUAUUUCUAGAAUCUCGAAGUAAAUUGGGGGAUCCCAAUCAGGGAUAAUUGAUAUAGGUAUGCAGUGUAAUCUAACAAUUUCCAGAAUAUAUACCUCAACUAGCUUUAGAAGUAACCAAUCAAUUCUAACAACAAGAAAAUGAGCUUACUUUGUUAGCCAAUAAACUAUCACCCAAAUUGCAUUUCUUUUGCUCAGAUAUAAUGGUAACCCUAUUACAAAAUCCAUGGUUAUACGCUCUCAUUUCCAAUCAGGAAUCGAGCUAGGCUGUAGAAGUUUGGUGGGAACCUAAUGUUCCGUCUUGACUCGUUGACAAGUCAAACAUCUAGCAAUAAACUUGACUACCUCUCUUUUCAUAUUGGGCCACCAAUACAACUUCCGUAAAUGGCGAUACAUUUUAGUUCCACCAGGGUGCAUAGAAAAAGGACUAUCAUGAGCUUCAUGAAGUAUUAAUUCCUAUAAAUUAGCAACAUCUAGAAUAGAAAUUCAAUUACGAAACAUUAAACAAUCACAAUCAUCAAUGCUAAAAUUUUUAUCGAACCAUUCUGAACCAAUUCUUUUUUUUCCCGACAACCUAGCAUCAGCUAAUUGUAUUUCUUUGAUUUGGUCAAACAACACCGAUUUGAGUUUCAACUCAGCCAACAAAUUGUCAUCAUUGCUAAUACUGAGUUGAGCUAACAUCGCUCGCAAUUCAACUACUUCCUUUCGACUCAACGUAUUGACUACGAUGUUCACCUUACUAAGGUAGCAAUCGAUAACACAAUCGUAAUCUUUCAAAAGUUUAACCCAAUGAUGUUGUCUCAAAUUCAACUCCUUUUGAGUUAGGAUGUAUUUACAAGUUUUGCGAUCGGUAUAUAUAUGACACUUUUCACUAUAUAAAUAGUGCCUCCAGAUCUUUAGAGCGAAAACCAUAGCAGCUAGCUCUAAAUUCUGUGUCGGAUAGUUAUAUUCAUGCAUUUUUAGCUAGCAGGACACAUACGUAAUCACUUUCCCAUCUUGCAGUAAAACGUAGCCCAAACUAAUCAAUGAAGCAUCACUACAUACCACAAAGUCUUUCCCCAAUUCAAGUAAGGUUAGAACUGGCUCUUCAGUUAAUAUCUAUUUCAAUUUCUCGAAACUCUCUUAGCACUGAUUGCUCCAACCAAACUGAACAUUCUUUUGCAAUAGCUUAGUCAUCGACAUGGUUAUUUUUGAAAAUCCAUUAACAAACCUUCGGUAGUAACCGAUCAAUCCAAGAAAACUAUGGACUCUAACACAUUUCUCGGUGCUUUUCACUACUCGAUGGCUUCAAUCUUUUUCGAAUCAAUUCUAAUCCCAUCAGUCAAAAUAACAUGUCCAAGAAACACAACCUCAGGUAACCAGAAUUUGCAUUUGUACAUUUCCCGUACAAUUGCUUUUCUUGAAAAACUUGCAAAAUGAUCCGAAGAUGUUGUUUGUGCUCAGCUUUAGAUUUCGAAUAGAUCAGAAUGUCGUCGAUGAAAACUACCAUGAAUUCAUCCAAGUAUGGUUGGAAUAUGCAAUUCAUGAGAUCCAUGAAUGUUGUAGGAGCAUUUGUUAAACCGAAAGUCAUCACCAAGAAUUCAUAAUGGCCAUAACGCAUGCAAAAUGCCGUUUUCGGUACGUCAUUAUCUUUUACUUUCAACUAAUAGUGACCAGAUCCCAAAUCAAUCUUAAAAAAAUAUUAAAGCUCCUUUCAACGGGUUGAAUAAAUCAUUGAUACGAGAUAGGGUGUACCGAUUCUUAAUCGUCAAUUUAUUCAAUUUUUUUCUAAUCUAUACAAUUAACGAACAAAACUACAGCUCCCUAGGGCAAUAUACUAAGGCGUCUAAAGCCGCAAUCCAGUAAUCUUGCAAUUCAACUUUUAGUUCCUUUAGCUCUGUCGAUGCCAUACGAUGAGGGCAAAUCGACACUAGAGUCGUACUAGGAAACACUUCAAUUGAAAAUUCAACUUCCCGAUCUGGUGGUAAUCCCAGUAAAUCCUCGGGAGACAUAUCAUGAAAUUCACACACAAUUCGAAUCUUACUCAGUUGAUUGUUGUCAGUGUUCGAAUUGAUGACAUAAGCUAGAAAAGCUUUGUAACAUUGAUUCAACAGUUUACUAGCUUGUAUAGACGAAAUUAUUCGAGUUGAACCACUCGUUCUGAUGUCAAUUACUUCCACAAUCUCUCAUUUUGGCCCUUGAAUAGAAAAUUUUUUCUUUUGGCAGUCCAAAAUCACUUUGUGCUCAGUUAGCCAAUCCGUACCCAAGAUCAAAUCAAAAUCGCCAAAAGGCAGGAUCAACAAAUCUACCGGGAAUGCUAAACUUUGAAUUUCUAACAAGCAACAUCUACACACUUGAUCCACUAACACCAAAAGGACUCGAUAUAGACAUGGCUACUUUCAAAAAUUUAGGCUUUAAACUCCCCGAUUUAACCAAAUCAACAUUAAUAUACAACUGAGAGAAACUAGGGUCUAUUAAAGUAUAAACAGGUGAAGAAAAUAGUACAAAUAUACCUGCUAUGACAUCGGUAGGAUUGCCUUCCUCUCGAGUAUGAACUAUAUAAGCUCGCGCUAGAGCUCUAGCCACUAUUUUUUGUACCACUGAUUCUUUCCAUUUUCUCGAAUCACUUCUUGGUAUUGAACCACCACAGUUAAAACCACAACCCCUAAUUGAAUGUGCAGAUCUCUAAGUAACCACCAGUACAGUAUUAUCAUCUUUCGAACACUCAUGAGCGGAAUGCUCCAGUGAUUCACAUUAAAAAUAGGUAUUAGAUCAUUUCAAGCAUUUCUCCCAGUGUUUAUUCCCACAAAUCUCACAAUUCGACGCUUUAGGAGCUUUAGUCGGGCCUUUUGCACUACCAACUGAACUGUCAGUUGUCAGUCUCGCGUUUUGUUUGAUGUAACAAAUCUUGCAAGUGUUGUCCAAGAAUCAUGAGAUUCUCUAGUUCGUUUAGAAACUUGAUGCGAGCUAGGGGUUUCUUCCCAUUUCCUAGCAACUCGCGUAACCUCAACUUUCUGGUCAAGACCUAAAGUUUACUCCACCAUUUUUGGUCACUCAACUAAAUCAGUAAACUAUAAACUUUAAUGUGAUACAAGUUAAACUCUAAGCUCGUCGCGUAAACCACGCAGGAAACCUUUGCAACUUUCAACUUCAAAUAGCACAAACUCUUAGGCAUAUUUACUAAGUCAUAAAAACUCGCGUUCUUGAUUAGCCACUAACAUUUCAUUAUUUUUCAAGAACAAAAAUUUUUGUUUUCGAUCUUCAAGAUACAACUAUUUGACAUACUUUUUCUGAAAUUCAUUUUGAAAGAACUCCCAAACGGCUCAUUUAGUAGGUACGUGGCUUGCUAUUAUCUGCCACCAUGUAAACGCUUCCCCUUGCAGAAGAGAAACGACACACAUUACACUUUCACGCGGGGUGCACUCGAGUUGCUAUAAAGUAUGUUUGGUCAACUCCAACCAAACUUCAACAGUUAAGGAUCAACCCCUUUCAGACCCAAAAACACGGUAGCACCAUAUCUUCGUAUAUCUUUAAUCGGAUCCCGUCGAACAACAUACAUAGAUACAACAGCAGAAGUAGCUCCUACCACUUUCUAAAAUGCAUCGGCUAUAUCUCAAAGAAGGGUCAAAUCACUUUGCCUCUCAUUUCUAUCUCUAUCAACCCUAGGCAGCUGAGCACCAGCUUAAUUUUCACUCGGUGGCACUAAUUCGGCCCUAAUCUCAUUCUGUAUGAAAUGGCCAUUACUAUGGAUACUCUGAUUUACUUCGUUUCUAGAUUCACCUGACAUUGUUCAAUUAUAUAAAAAAAACAAUAUAAUCAGCAUCCAAAUCCCAACUUGGACUCAACUCAAUUUUGGCAUGUACCUCUACACUCAACUCAACCAUUAAACACUUAUGCCACAAGCUACCAUUUAAGCUACAUUUCAACCUAUACAAAAGCAUCCAAUUCAAGUCAAAAUCAUCAUUUCAAACAACUAUCCAAAGUGCCUAACCAAAAUGCCACAUUUGGCACCUCAAUCAACAAUUCAAAACUAUCCAAAUAAUCAUAUUCAAUCAUGCCAAUAUACCUUCAACGAUACCUCAAAUCAUCAACGACACAUGUAUAUGUUUAACCAUUCAACCAUCUCAUGUUUAAGUAUCAAACUUAUCAAAAUAUUUCCUAGACAUAACCUAAACAUAUCAUCCAUCAAACCAAAUCCAAACAUCAACCAAACAUAAUACCUAGCAUGAUAUUUUCUCAACCAUUAGAACAUUAGGCAUAUAUCCUAAACAACCUAUCAAAACAUUAACCACAAAACCAUUACACAUAAAUACAUACACUUUAAUACAUAAUAUUAAGAAAUACCAUCAAGAUACAAAAUGAUUAUAAUAACUAAAAGACUUCUUAGGUACAUCCCAAGACCCAAAAUAAGCACAUCACCAACACUUAAGUCUGGGAUUUUCACUGGAUGCUGAGUCGAUGAUUUGAUCACUAAGUACAUAAUCUGUGCACGGGAAAAAAAUUUGUUCACUAAGCAUACUUAGUGGUAUUUCAAUAAUCUAAAUAUUUAUAUCUGAUCUAAAGCAUAAUGAUGCAUAAGUUAACAUAAAUAAUAAGGUUCAACAUAGCAAUUACUAUAUAUCAAUUCACUUACUCAUUUUUUCAAAACCAUCACAUUUUACCAAUGCAAGAACAUGGCAAUUUCAUUUCAUAUAUCAAUUAAUACAUUCAAAGUUCAUAAUCAACUUUAACUCAAAUGUUCGACCAUCAUGGUUUCAAUUUUCUUUUUUAAUUCCCUAUUAAGAUGACUUGGACUCGGAUGGAUACACUAAUCCAACCAACACACCAAAUUGGCACCCAGUGCCUAACGGAUAAAUCUGUAAUAAAGAAUUACACCCUGUGCUGGUCAGUAGAGACUGACAAAUAAAUGUGCCCAUCACAGGUUGGUAUAACCGACAAAUGGGGUUCCCAGCACUCCCCGAUACGUAAUCAUAUAACCUUGAACUCUUCCUAUCGUAUAGAUGUUAAUGAUACUCGACCCUACCCGAACAAUUAAUAAGUUGAAAAUUUUCCCAAUUCAAUUGAUAAAUCAAUUCUUCAAUACAUGACAUGUCUCAUUUCCAUAUCAAAUCGAAUUUAACAUACUUGACGACUUUGUCUUUUCCUUUCUUUUUCGAGGAAUUCUGGUCGACGUUAGCUACUGAUUAAAACAAAUAUAUUAAAUUAUCAAUAGACAACCAAAUUCGCAUUCAAUUGCUAAAUUAUGUAACUUUUGCAUUUUAUUUAAUUUAGUCUCUAAAAUCGGGAUUAACAUAACUUUUACAUUUAGCCCCUAAUUUAAAUUUGAAUUCACUAGAAUCCUAAUAGGGCUUCCUAUUUUUCAAUUAUACCACAAAUUUCUUGACUUGUCAUUUUAGUUCCUAUUCAAAAAAUCAUCAAUUGGCUUUAAAAUUUAGUCCUUUUUCAAUUCUAAACUUAAAACCUAUCAAGUUAACCCCUAAAACUUCAACUAUCCAACAAUGGCAACAUCUUCAAUCUUUAAUAGUACUGAAAAAUAUGGCAUAGGUUAGCUAGCUUAAGCUACCAAGAUUCCAAAAACAUAAAAAUUGUAAGAAAAUGACUAAAUUGAAUUAACCAAAUUGAGCUUGAAAAUUUUGAAUAACCUAGCCGUGCCUUCUCCCUUUUCUUUCUAUGCUUCGAAAUUUUAUAAAUAUAAAAAGGAAAUGUGUUUUGUUUUUAGUUUCCACUACUUUGGUUUUAAUUUAUUUUUCUUACUUUAUGAUUUAUUUUUAUUUAUUAAUUUUAUGAAAUUUUCUUUUAGAAAUUCAUUCAUUACGGUACACUUUUAUUAAACCAUUGGUUUAAUUACAUUAUAAUAAGUUCUAAUUAUAAUUCCUUAAUAAUUCACACUUUUAUCACUUACGUGAUUUAGUCUAUGUACGCUAAUAAAACCCUAAUUCAAUAAAAUUACCCAACCAAAACUCAAUUCAUUUCAAUUAUAACUCCAUAAAUAUUUAAUAAAAAUAUUUAUGAGUCUCAUUUUCGAAACCACUCUUUCCAACACCAGUAACUUGCGGAUCACUGCAACAUGUAUAAUUUCAAUUAAGUUUAUUGCUAUAAAUAUCAUAAAGGCACGAAUUUAAAGAAAAUUUUCUAAAUAAAUUAUUUUCUAAACUGAUUGUUCCAAAAUAGAUACAAUACAACCUCAAAAUCUUGAAUGGUGAAACCACAAACUUCUUGACAAUUCCAUAACCUACGCAUUUCAACAACCAACACUUAAGCUCGAUGAGCACAAUAAGUACACAUGGAUAAACCUACUUAUCCUAUUCAUUAUUUAUCUUUAAGCCCCCAUGGAAGUGAUUAUUACAAAGUUCGCUCAUUCUAGUUUUUAGUGUUAUUAGUGGGUUCAUUUUUGUUACCAAAAUGUAAGGGCUUAACUUACAUGUUAAUGGUGUAUUAGUUGAUCACAUUAUAAAGUUCAGACACAUGGCUCUUAUGUAGCACUCAAACUAUAUUUAGUCAAAUGUAUAUCCUCAUUUUUCCAUAGUUCUCAACACGUUCACACAGAAAUUCCACUUUUUAUUAGAGUUUGCUUAACAUAGUCUUGCAUAAGUUUCUUCAUCAUAUAGCUAAAUGUUCAUUGGUGUCAUUUAGUAUUUAAACAUUAUGCUUUUAUUUCCUUCAUUAGGAGUAUGUAGUUUCAGAAUUUUCGCUCCUUAUAUCAUUCUCUUAUGGCAUUAAUGCUUAUAGAAUAGUUUAUAGUUUUUCCUUUAUUGAGGAACAUUUGAUAUAUUGUCUUAAUUCACUUAAGUUAAUCCAAUUAUGCCACAAAUGACCAGAACAUGAUAUCACAACAAAUUUAUUAUCAUUAUACUUAUUUGUUCCAUUUCUUUUUAACUUAUUUAGCUUAUAUCCCUUAGUAAACUCUAGCAAAAUGUGAUUCAAAUUUACGAGAUCCAUGCAAACACAACCAGAGAGCAUGUAAGUGCUUAGACAUAAGCCAUCAUAUCACAACCCUUCAAAACACAUCGAAAAGCACUUAAGUGUUAAUCUUCCAAAACACACUAAAGAGUGCAUAAGCAUUGAGCCCAAAGACAAUAAAGAGUACACAUAAGUACAAGGCCUAAAGGAAACAAAACUCUAAGACCAUGCAUAACUGCAUAGACUUAAGGCAAUAAAGAUUCAAUCACAUCACAUAUCCCAAACCAAAUGUGCAUCUAAUCUCUAUUGGCAUGUCAAUCAUAUCCUAACUACUUCACUAAGUUUACUAAGGCAUCUUACAAUUACAAUUUGUAACACCUUAUACCUGGUCUGGUCGACGAGCCCAAGUAAUAGGAUGUUACACCACCAUCUCAUCAACAAAAAAGCAUAAAUCAUCUCAUUUACAUACAAUUAUUGUAAAAAUUCCAUUUGAUAAUUAUAGAGAUUCUAAGUCAUGAAUACCCUAAGCAACAUUAAAUUAUGCUAAACAUACAUUAGACGAGCUUAUAAUAAGAUUUAAACAUGCUCUUAAUUCAUUUAACAAAGUUUCUAAAAAAAUCACGUAGGUAUCGGUACUGAAUCAAAUGUAUUCAUAAUUCGCAUAAAUGGUAUCGAUACCACCCAAAAAAUUGGUGCCAAAUUAGCAUUAUGCCUCUCACCUAAAAUCAAAACCAAGAAAUUAUCGAUGCAUUUCAAUAAAUAUCGAUUUUACUACCCUGAUUAUCGACACUCGUGAUAUGGUAUCGAUACCAAAUUAAGUUACUAACUUCCUACACAUUCAAAAUAUCAAGAAGGUAUCAAUUUUAAAACCCGAAUCUUGAUACCUCUGCUCUAAGCAACAAAAACACAGCAUAUUAAGGUAUAUAGUCUAUUCAAACUUUAUCAAAUCAAUAUGCAUCUAUUACUUUAUCAAAAUUCGUUAAAACAACUAUAAUGGCAGUUCAAAACAUUGUCAAUGAGUCCAAACAAGCAAUCAAUAUAUCAAGCUUGAUAUCUAUAAAUCCUAAGAGCAAUAAAGUUGCAACAUCCCUAAACCAAGUCUAAUAGUUUCGGGUAUAUUUUUGGGUUCCAAGUGUGAAACUAGGAAUUUAUAGAGUUUCUAAUAAUUUUAAUCUACUAUAGGAGGUUAAUUUUAUCUAAAAUCGAUUCAACAAUAAUCCAAAAAAUUAAAAAAAUAUUUUCAAAAAAUUAAUUUUAAAUAUUUUAAAUAAUUAUUAGUGAAAAUAAUCAAUUUGGGUUGAAAAAGAAUUUUAAAAUAAUUUUAUUGGGGGUAAUUUGAGUAAAAUUUAAAUAUUAAUUAAAUAGGAUUGAAUUGUAAAACGAGGGAAAAUUUAGAGUAUUUAUAUGAAAAAUAAGCCUUAAAAUUUGGAAUUUUGGAGGGAAAGGUUAAAUGGUAAAGUAAGGGAAAUGUAGGAGUGGCCAUUAGGCAAAUUUCCCAAUUUUUAAACUUCUGGUAGGUGGUUUCAUUUUUAAAACUAAUGUAUCUAGCCCACUUUUCACACAAAUUACAUCAAAUUGGAGAGAUUUAAAAUUCAUUUUCUUUGCAUGAUUUUAAAGAUCUAUCAUCAAAGAAUAGAUCCAAUCAAUUUCCAUCUCAAAAUACUCUUUCAAUUCACCCAAAAUUAUUCUCAAAAGUAGUCAAAAAUAUUUUGAAAUUUCUCAAGUUUCUUGAAUCAAGAUUUUCAAUCAACGAAUUUAGAGCGACUCAAAGGUAAUAUUCAAUCCUAAACUUAUUUUUAUGAUGAUUAGAAACAUUUUUACAUGAUUUGAGGGUAAAUUAAAAUAUUUUUAUCAAUGUUAUAUUUUUCCAAGAACACAUGGUUCUUCAAUGGUGGAUCUUGAAUUUUGAGAGGAAAUCCACAAAAUCAAUGGAUGUUUCAACUUAAAAUCAAUCUGUUAAAAGGUUUUUGAUCUUAUUUAUCAAGAUUAAACAUGAUUUGUAAGGUAAUCUAAAAUAAUCUAAAUUUCAUCAUCUUCAUGAACCGAUUUUUUAAAAUUUUGUGAAAUUGAUUUAAAGAUGAUAUUGAUGCUUAGUAUAAGUGUAUUUGGUCUAGUAUUGAUGAUUGAAAGUGUUUAGGAGGGCUAGAGAGAUUGAUUUUGUGAGGAAUCGAGUCUUGAUGUUACAAAUCCGAUAAGGUAUCUUUGUGAGAGGAUUUCAAUUAGUAUAGCUAAUUAAAAUUCGUGUUUAUUAUAGCAUUAGAAAGGUGGUAAUGUCUACUUUAUCUCUGUUGAAGCUCUGAAUCUUGAAGAGAACCGAGCUAACUGGAAUUGAAGCUUGGAUUUUCUUGGUUGAUCACUUGUUUAUGGUAGAACAAAUUGUGUGAUAAGUGUUUCAAAGAUCGAUUUGGUAAAUUGACCCUCAUUUGUGUUUAAUUAGUAGCUUAAUUGAUGAUUUCAAUUGAUUAACUAUAGUUGAAUGGCUGAUUUUGCAAGAUUGAUAUUAUAUGUACAAGAGUUGAAUUUUUAUUGAAUAAUGGUAAGUAAGCAUUUAGGUGAUUUUGUGAAAUUUAAUUAAGCUAAUUAUAUUGAUGAUUAGAGCAUGGUAACUGGAGUUUUUGAUCAUGAUAUAUUGGUGUUACAAUUGGUAAUUGAGCAUUGGAAAAUCGAAAAUGAAAUGCUUAAUUUAAUUGGAUGUUAAAUGACUAUGUUACAUGUUACACAUAAGCAUUUUGCCACAUUAAAUUGAACACAAUAAUGACUGAUUUAUAUGCAAUGUUUGAUUGAAUAUAUAGGCAACAUGCAUUGUGGAUCCAUUGGAUAUAGUUGGUAUGCCAUAGGAUUUGUGAGUACUCACCUUUAUUUGUGACAUUGUGAGCAUAUGGCUCUAGGUGGACUGAUUUGUUUGGAGUAGAUAAGAGAGUGUUGAGCAUGAGUCUCCACUCAUUGGGUUAUUUGAGGCACUACAAGGGAGUGUGUGCUUCGGCCCGCUCAACUCGGUAGACUGUAUUUGAUAUUUGUGGGAGUUCCUAGAUCUAUUUAUAUGAUGUAUGAUCACUCGAUUAAGCCAUGAGAAAUGUAUGUCAAUAUAUUUAUAUGUGAUUUUUGUUAUAUCAUUCGAUGUUUGUAAACCAUGAAUAAUUGAUUCUUGAUAUUGAUAAAGUAUAUGGAAAUUAUGGCUUAUAAUUGGUGAUUGAUUGGAUGUGAUUUAAGCAUGAUUUGGAUUUUGAUUUACUAGUCAUUUUAUUAACAUUCACUGAACUUUUUAAAGCUCACACCUUCACAAUUUGUGUAGAUAAUCGUGGGCUUGAGGGGCUGAGGAGCCGAACAAGAGAGUUCUAAGAGAUUUAGGAUUGGUAGAGACUUUAUUACAUGUUUUAGAGACUGUAAUCAGGCAUUGUGGAACUCUCGAGAAUUAGUUUUAUUUUGGUUGUAAUUGGACUUUGGACUUUGGACAUUUUAUUUUGGAUGGUUUUAUAAUAAUUUUGAGGCAUGUUUGAGUUUAAUUAUUGAAUGAUGUACGGUGUAUUGUUUCUUGAUAACACGGUUUAUGAGGCAUAAAACUCGUACUAACAAUUGUUUAAAUGAAGCUUCCAUGGAGUGGUUUACUAGCGACUAAGGUACGUCACUUGUUUGAUUUAUUCGAUGUUUGUUAUGCAUGAAAUUGAUUACCUACUUCUAUAUAAUUUAGGCUUGAUUGAUGUCAAUAAACUCAAUCGAAGGUGUAUGUAUAUGUAUGUUAAUUAAUCGUAGUUAAAUUAGGUUUAAUUGGCUAUUAAAAUAUGCAAAAUUGGAUUUUAAAAUGAGUUUUUCGUUAAAAAAAUAGAUGCAGUAGUUUGCAUAAGGGCGUGUGGGUAAGUCACACGGGCAUAUGGAGAUUGGAGCUAUAUUUCCACACGGGCGUGUAUGAUCGGUCUAAAGUUUUUCACGACGCUAACACGGUUGUUUAAUGACACACAGUCCGAGGGACAUGGCCAUGUGGGUUUUGGGGAGGUUUAAAUUUUUGUCUCUUUAAAUGGUAUUCUAAUUUGUUCAAGUUACAAUUUAGUAACUAAUAAUAAAACUUGAAUUAAACAUAGUAAGUGAACUCAAAUUAAGCUGAAAUUUUUAGGCUUGCAUAAUUUGACAAAAACAAAGUCGGUAAACACUUAGAUCUAAAAUUAGGUUAGUUUUAUCAUAGGUGGUAAAAUGAUGAAAAUGCCCUUAGGUUAAAUUACCUAGGAAAAGUUUAAAAUUGGCUCACAAUUUGCUUCUGCAUUAUUAAAUAACUAAUAAUUAGAUAAGAUUGAGGUGUUAUAAGGUCGGUGAGGUGUUAUAAGGUCGGGGUCUGUCUUGGGUAGUCGUUAGCUAGAGACUCAUUUAGGUGGCUAAUGUAAUGCUUCGAAUUCAGGUUGGUUCUUCCCGGUCGAGUUUGGAGUCUUACAAAAGUCAUGUAAACAUCCAAAACAUCAUGAAAUCAAUCAGCUAAAAGUCUACCACAUUGUCUUAUUCCCACAGUUCAAAGAAUAAUAAUAUCACUUACACAAAAACUAAAGCCUAACUUGGAUCACUUCCUUGGUAUCUCUGCACCGCUCACACUGCAAAUGUUAAAUAUCUGCAAUGGUUUGAAAAGAUUAUGUGAGCUUAAACAAGCUUAGUGAAUAUCGGAAUAACCACAAAGCAUACACAAAAUCAAAGGUUAAGCAAGAGCAUAUUACCACACAUUCACAACUAUAUUUUAAUCGAGUCAAAAUUACGUGUUCAUGCUCAUUAAUUCAUAAAACUAGCAUAUACUCUCACAUACAAUUACCCUCAACUCAUAUAUAUAUUUAAUUCAUUUUACAAUAAUUCCUCAAAACAAAACAACAUAUUCAUGUUUUAGUAGCUCACAAGUCUAGUUUAUAUAUUCACAUGCAACACACAACAUUUUCAUGUAUUAAUCAGUCAAAGAUAGUUUGGCAACUUGGAAAUAUGAAACAUAAAAGUGUGCUCUAUCACCACACAUUGGAUACAUGGAUCUUCAUCACACCAAUGACUCUAACAUAUCUCAUAAGUUUAGGAUUUAGCUAACACUCUCCAGCAUACCAACAUAUCUUGGUCAAUAGAGCUUAGCUCACAUUCUUUUAUCUCUCCAAACUAUCCCAAGGCCUCAAUGCCCAAAUAAAAAAUGUAAGGGUGAGUACUCACAAUCCUAUGGCAUGCCAACUAUAUCCAAAAAUUUCAAGAGAUCACAAGGCCAAAAUAUCCACAAUUACACAAUUUUAAUUACUGAUUUAAUGCACAACAUCUCUAUUCAUAUUCAUCAAUUUACAUUACAAACUUGUACACAAUGCAUGAUUAAGGAAUUCAUAUUUAAUUGCACUUUAAGUGCCACAAUAAUGCUCAUUGAGUCAUCAUUUAUCAGACCUCACAUGUGUGUAUUAAAAUCAGUACAUCAUAUAUCUUAUACAAGUAUUCUCACAUAUUACCUAUCAUGAUCAUAUCACAUUCCACAAUUCAACACAUAUGUACUUACCGAAAUCCUGCUCACUUUCAUUGCAUAUUCACACUAUUAACACAUAAUUGUCACUGUCAUUUGGCAUGUAUAUCAUGCCUACAACAUAACACAAUUCACAAUAGUCAUCACAUACAACUCAUGUAACAAUAUCGCAUCAUAAUACUCAAUCCACAAUUAUUCACAUAAUCACACAUUUUUUCAUAAUAAAUCAAGGGGAAUAGAAAGCUUACACUUGAAAAUUAGGAUAACGAUGUAGGCUAUUCCUAAGCUCCCAAUUAACACUAUGAAACGUGUCUACUAGCAGUGAUUCCAAGCAUUUACAGUUCACACUUUCACCUAGUUGCUGAAACCUCAAACUAGUUUUUCCUUGCUCAUCGAAGGUCGUAACGACUCCAAAGCUUCACACAUAAUAAUGACAGAAUAUACACAAUCAACUAACAACCAUAAAACACCUUAAACAAGCAAAAAUACAGGUUUAAGUCUAGUUUCUCUUGGAAUAGAAAUUCUCAAAUAACAAAUUUGAAACUCAAAUAUCUUAAUCUUUACUCAUUUUCAUUGCCUAUAACCAAUUCCAAUCAUCUAAUUAAACAUCUAAGAACAAUUCCUAACCUUCAAAAUACACAAAAUUACUCAAAUUCAUGGUUCUAAAUUUUCGACGUAAAAUAGACAUUUUUCAUGAAAACCCAAUAAAACUUUAAAAUCUCUUAACAAAACUUUAGGGAAAGUUUAGAAACCUUAUAAUCAUGUCAAAACAAGAUGAAAAACACUUUGAAACAUCUUUUUUAUGCAAAAUCCAUAAUUUCACCAUUAACGACCCAAUUUUUUACUUUUAUUCAAAUAUUUCGAUUCAAUGGAUAAAAACUCAAUUUAAAAAGGUUAGAUAUCAUUAAAAACCAAUAGGAAAAUGAAAUUAUUACCUUAGUUGACGAAGAAUCGAGUGUUUUCUCAAAAAUUUGAAAAACCCAAAAGUUAAGGAAUAGAUAAAUCUAUGUUGUUUUUCGUGGUUAUUAUGGAGUUCUAAAGAGGUUUAAUGUUAUUAGGACGAAAGAAAUCAAAGGAAUGAAUGUUGGGAAUCAAAAUUAAAUGAAUGGGGUUUGGGAAGACAAUGGAUGGCAAAACAAAAAAGAAUGGGAAGAACUAAUGUGGGUUUUGUAAAGAUAAAUGAGGGAAAUUUGGUAUUUUUAAAGCUUUGGUAAAAUUGCUUUAAAACUACUCCCAAAUUAAAACCUUUUAAAAAUAGUCCUUAUUUUACAAUUGAAGGUCUUUUCAACAUUAUUUUCAAAAAUUGAUUUAAUUUUUCAAAAUCUAUGAUCGAAAAUAAUUCCGGGUUCCCACAAUUCAAAAUUUUUUUAACCUGCUCCAAGCCAAAAUUUUCACUUUACCCUCAAAACUUCUAGAUCCAAUUUCGAGGUGUGACACAAUUAAAUUAUAAUAAUUAUGACUAUUUGCAUAAUCAUGAUUCAGUUAGAGAUAGAUUCAAAGUUCAUACUAUUCGAAGUAUAUUAGACAAUAUUUUGUUUAAUUUCACAUAUUGGCAAACUGAUUUCCCACACAAAUAUACCCAAAUCCAUAUAUUAUUAAUUGAGGCCUUAUAUACAUGAUCAUUUUUCAUAGCAAAUUUCAAAAAAGGGGGUCAUUAUGACCUCAUGUACAUAGCCAUACUUAUUUUAUUAUACAUAUAAAUAUCACCACAUUUCAAGUUCUAUUUUUGAACAUGGUAAUUAUAUUAACAUAUUCAUCAUUUAAUUGGUCAUGGUGACACAUUAGCACAUUUUUCACGUUAAUAUCACAUUUCAUAAAUUUUCACAUUUACCCCAUCAUAUUUUUUAAUCAUUCCUUGGCAACCAAAAUUUUUAUGGCACAAUAUUAGUUAGUGUGGCACAUAUAACGGAGGCUUACCAAACCAUAAUUUUUAAAACACUAGAUUAUAAUACUUUUAGACCAUGAAACUCACAUAUAUUUAUUUCAUAAUCGAAUUCACAUUUAUUACACCAUUUUCAACAAUUUCCUAAACAUAUUAGUAUAGGAGAGUAUGAGUAUUUAAGGGUAUUUACCUCUUGGAUGCACAUAUACUCAAAACCGAGCUUCCAACAAUUGAAUUCAUCCUCAUACAAGCUUGAAAUUUCAUUUAUCAUCAUUUCCUCAUUUUUCCAUAUACAAAAAUAUAAAAAAAAAGCAUAAUAAGCUUUCCAAGUUUCUCAUAACAACCAACUCAACUAUCAAGCUAGGAGAGAUGGAAAACAUUAUUACCAACCUUAUUAAGCUUUCUCUCAUUAGCUUCAACUUUUUGUCUUGAGAAAUCAUGAAAGCCUUGCUGAAAAUAGAGACAUUGAAGGUGGAUUUUGAAUCAAACCACCAUACGGUAUUUUCUUUAAGUAUCUUGUAGGAUACUGUUGUUCCAGCUACAUUUCUCUUUUCGCUCUACUAGUAAUUUAAUUGGAGCUUGAACCCGAGUUUCGAUGAGGUUGAAUCUACUUUUUUUUGUUCUACCUUCCUUAUUUAUUUUAUCUAAUUCUUAUCUAAUUUGAAAAAAAAAACUAAAAAAAGGGGGGGCAAUAGAGUAGUCACAGAUAUUUGAUUGCAUCUCGAUCUAAUCUUUUUUGCCCCGUCCCGCGGCAAUAACUAGAAUUAAAAAAAGGGAAUGUUAACGCAUCCGGGAAGAAACUAUUGAUCUCUAUCAAUAAACCCGCUAAAGAACCGAACCAGAGAGUACAUAAUAUCGGUGCUACAGAAAGAUAUGUUUUUAGAUCUCGCAUUUAAAAUCUUCCUUCUUUAUCGUAUUACAUUAUGGUAAUACAUAUAUAAUCGCAUGUAUGUGUGGUUAAAGACCACUUGGAUUUUUCUAUUUAUACCCGGAAUUCCUAAUUCAAAAUUCAAAUUUAAAUGUACAAUGAUUUGAUAGAUAAGAUUUUCCCUUUCUUAAAACAUCAAAACAAAAUAGGUCCCUUUCCGCCUGAGAAUUCCCGCUAAAAAUAUUCAUUUAUUAUUCAUUAUAUGGUUGUUAUAUGAUAUGAGACCAAAAAGAGGAAAUGGAAAGAUCCGUUNNNNNNNNNNNNNNNNNNNNNNNNNNNNNNNNNNNNNNNNNNNNNNNNNNNNNNNNNNNNNNNNNNNNNNNNNNNNNNNNNNNNNNNNNNNNNNNNNNNNNNNNNNNNNNNNNNNNNNNNNNNNNNNNNNNNNNNNNNNNNNNNNNNNNNNNNNNNNNNNNNNNNNNNNNNNNNNNNNNNNNNNNNNNNNNNNNNNNNNNNNNNNNNNNNNNNNNNNNNNNNNNNNNNNNNNNNNNNNNNNNNNNNNNNNNNNNNNNNNNNNNNNNNNNNNNNNNNNNNNNNNNNNNNNNNNNNNNNNNNNNNNNNNNNNNNNNNNNNNNNNNNNNNNNNNNNNNNNNNNNNNNNNNNNNNNNNNNNNNNNNNNNNNNNNNNNNNNNNNNNNNNNNNNNNNNNNNNNNNNNNNNNNNNNNNNNNNNNNNNNNNNNNNNNNNNNNNNNNNNNNNNNNNNNNNNNNNNNNNNNNNNAGAAAAACUUCAAUCAUUUCAAUUUAUUUGAAAGGAGAAAAAGAAAGGUAAUAUUUAUGCCUAAAUAUUAAUUUCUAUUGCCCAUGAAUAUUAAUACCUAAUAAUUGAUAAUUAACACGGUAAGGAGCUAUAGAAUAUAUGGAAUAGGACAGAAAGCUUUUUUUAUGAAUUGUUCAUUCAUUGAAUUAAUUUUCAAAUAAGUCGUAUCUUACUCAAACCAAUAAAUAAAGCUGGCGUUAUAGUUAAAGCCUCUAGUAAAAACCGAAAUAACUAGUUAUGAAAAUAAAUCAUACUACUUCUGUUCCUGGAGUUUCCACGCUUGAAAAAGAAAAUCUGGGGCGUAUUUCUCAAAUCAUCAGUCCGGUACUGGAUGUAGCCUUUCCCCCAGGCAAAAUGCCUAAUAUUUACAAUGCCCUAGUAGUUAAGGGUCAAGAUAUCGCCGGUCAACAAAUUAAUGCAACUUGUGAGGUACAGAAUUAUUAGGAAAUAAUCAAGUUAGAGUUGUAGCUAUGAGUGCUACAGAUGAUCUAAUGAGAGGAAUAGAAGUGAUUGACACGAGAGCUGCUCUAAGUGUUCCAGUCGGUUGAGCGACCCUAGGAUGAAUUUUUAACGUGCUUGGGGAGCCCAUUGACAAUUUAGGUCCUGUAGAUACUUGCACAACAUCCCCUAAUCAUAAAUCCACGCUCGCUUUUAUACAAUUAGAUACAAAAUUAUCUAUUUUUGAAACAGGAAUUAAAGUAGUCGAUCUUUUAGCUCCUUAUCACUGUGGAGGAAAAAUCAGACUAUUUGGGGGGCUGGGGUAGGUAAAACAGUACUCAUUAUGGAAUUGAUCAACAACAUUGCCAAAGUUCAUAGGGGCGUAUCUGUAUUUGGCGGAGUAGGUGAACGGACUCGUGAAGGAAAUGAUCUUUACAUGGAAAUGAAAGAAUCUGGAGUAAUUAAUGAACAAAAUCUUACGAAAUCAAAAGUGGCUUUAGUUUACGGUCAGAUGAAUGAACCGUCAGGAGCUCGUAUGAGAGUUGGAUUGACUGCCCUAACUAUGGUGGAACAUUUCUGAGAUGCUAAUGAACAAGACAUACUUCUAUUUAUGGACAAUAUCUUCCGUUUUGUCCAAGCGGGAUCCGAAGUAUCUGCCUUAUUGGGUUACUAUACCUGUUGUCAUAGCAUUAUAAAGAGUAUUGUUACUUUUGUUCCCAUCGGGAUAAAUCUGGCCCCUUCCCCUGUUGCCACCUACGUAUAUGGGAUAUUUUAAGAAAUGAACCUCCUUAUUACUAGCAGGGUCUUGGGAAAGAAUAGGAAAAGUGAUUUCACUAUAUUUUUUACCAAGAACAGGACCUAUCACAAGAAUAUUUUUCUUAGUGGGGCGGUAGUUCUGAAAAGACAGAUUGUCUAUCUUUUCUUUCAUCUCGGGCGAAAUAUGAUCAGGCAGGGCUAACUCAAACCCCUCUGCUAAAAUAAGAACAGCACCCACAUUCAAAGCCCCUUUCUUACCAUUAGCAAGAACUUGUUUCAAUUGCAUAUCAUAAGGAAUUCUAACAACCGCUUCAAAUACAGUAUCAGGAAGUACCACUUGUGGAACCUCAAUAUCCACGAGUUUUUUCGCUAAAUGGCAAUUGGCACAUACAAUACUCCCAGUUGCUUCUCGUGGAUUUUUAUACCCUUGCUACGCAAAAAUGGGAUAUGCAUUUGAAAUAGAUGCCCCGAUUAUUAUAUAGAUCAUGAGCGAUAUGGAAAUGGAUCAAGUAAUCUUUUCCUUUAUCCAAGAAAAAGUAUUUCUAGUUUGCAUGGUCCAAUCAUUGAUCCUGAAACUGCCUCGGGUUUAAGGGGAUAGCCCGGUAAAUAGACAUCCACGGGAAUUAGCUUAUCGACCCCCCGAACAGUACUAUAAGAAUCAAUACUGAACAUCCCUCCUGUAAUUGUACACGUGCUCAUAGCCAUAACAUAUUUAGGUUCGGGCAUUUGUUCAUAUAAUCUCACUAAAGAGGGCGCCAUUUUCAUUGUUACUAUUCCAGCUGUUAAAAUUAGGUCUGCCUGUCUAGGACUCGAUCUUGGUACCAUCCCAUAACGAUCAAAGUCGAAGCGUAAGCCUAUUAAUGAAGCAAAUUCAAUAAAGCAACAACUGGUACCAUAAAGAAGUGGCCAUAAACUGGAGAGUCUUGACCAAUUUGAAAGAUCAUUUAAUGUAGUUGAAAUAACUGAAUUUUGGGUUGUUCGAUCAAGUAAGGGAAAUUCAAUGGAAUUCAUACUCAAUGUUAUUAUUAUUUUUAAUUUUUUCUUUAUUUUUAUUAUCUGAAUAUUCAGGAACUAAAACCAUUCCAAUGCUUCUUUUCGCCAUGCAUAAACUGAACCAACAAUUAGGAUAAGCACGAAAAUGGAAGCUUCUAUGAAUACGGGUACCCCUAAUACAUCAAAACUCAUUUCCCAUGGAUAAAGAAAAACUAUGAAAUGAAAUUGAAACAAGGCUAAUGAGAUAGAAAUAAGGAAUCAUAAAUAGAGUUCGGGUUCGAAUUCAAUAGAUAAUAUGGAUGGUGUUGCCUAUAAUGAUGGACAAAUGAAAGACUCUCCCAAAAUUUUUAUUUAUCCACUUCCUAUUUUGAAAAUAGGUUGGUUGAACUUAAAAAUUCCUUCAUUGAAUAAGGAAACAAUCCAAUUGCAUGCACUUGAAUUGGAUGGGACCAACGAAAUCGAGUGCUAACCCCCAUUUCUUAUUGAAUUAACCGAUCAACCUCCU